Molecule: ribosomal RNA, 253 nt
Filed under: uncultured bacterium
Lineage: Bacteria
Description: partial 16S ribosomal RNA
Rfam family: Bacterial small subunit ribosomal RNA
Source: RNAcentral
UACGGAGGGUGCAAGCGUUAUCCGGAUUCACUGGGUUUAAAGGGUGCGUAGGUUGACCGGGAAGUCAGUGGUGAAAUACUCUCGCUUAACGAGAGAACUGCCGUUGAUACUAUCGGUCUUGAAUACGGUGGAGGCGGGCGGAAUGUGUCAUGUAGUAGUGAAAUACUUAGAGAUGACACAGAACACCUAUUGCGAAGGCAGCUCGCUACGCCGUCAUUGACACUGAGGCACGAAAGCGUGGGGAUCAAACAGG